Molecule: long non-coding RNA, 557 nt
Organism: Stegostoma tigrinum
Lineage: Eukaryota; Metazoa; Chordata; Chondrichthyes; Orectolobiformes; Stegostomatidae
Exons: 5
Source: RefSeq, a predicted model, not a curated record
AGCAGCAGCAGAGGUAAGAUGGACCUGGAAGACUGCAGCUAAGGCGAAAAGGGCGGAUUUUGAAUUGGUAAUGGAAUCAACGCAAGUGAGCACAAGGCAGAACUGUGGAAGUGACGAUUAAAUGUUUAAACAUGAUGUCAUUGAGAGGAACAGCAAUCUCCAUCGGAAGAAUAAAUACCUCUGUUUCCAAUUCUUCUGGCAUAACAAUAGGUUGCCGCAGCCACUCCAGAAGGCACUCAACCACAUUACCACGCAUCUGAAGUCAGAUAAAGCACAGACCAAGUAGAACCUGAGAUUUCCUACUGAACAAACGAAUAAUGGAUCGGCCACUGCCUGACCAAAGAAAAAGCAUAUUCUGCUUCGAAGGUUUUUGAUCAAGAGAGCUUCAAAGACGACAGAUAAGAUCUAUGUCUGAAAAUGCAAAAACAAGCAAAAAUAAAGCUCAUUUCUUCAUGAAAUCUGCUACGAGUGGAAAGAAUCGAACGCCAAAUUAUUACCAGAGGAAAUUUCAACGGCAGAAAGACCUGUUCACUGAUGCAAGCUCUCCUUUCUUUUUA